Phoenix dactylifera (date palm) is the source of this 723-nucleotide non-coding RNA. The record is from RefSeq and is a predicted model, not a curated record. Lineage: Eukaryota; Viridiplantae; Streptophyta; Magnoliopsida; Arecales; Arecaceae.
UUGAAAAAUUAUAAUGUAUGGUCGAUCAUUCAGAUGAGCACGAACGAACGGAAGCAAGCAAUAAUUUCUUUCGAAACCCCCCGCCUCCCCGCCACGCAGCAUUAUUACUCGUACCUCAUCGUUGUCGUCGGGAUUCUUUGGAGGGAAGGAUCAUCGGAUCGGGGCUCGUCUCCCGUCAUCGCCGUGCUCGGCCCUCCCAAACCCUAUAUUUCUAGGGUUUCGGCUUCUUGAUCUGCGGGUUUCUCCACUGCCAAGUUUUCAAGCGCCGCCAGGCGGUUUCAAACGGAAACAUGGCAGGCUUUGCCGAUCUUUCUCUGUUCAUUCGCUGUUCUCAGUCGUGGUGGCGGCAGAUCUGGCGCAAGGUUUCUUUGAUUCGAAAUUAGCAGCUCCGUAGAUGCUUUUCUUUCAUCGAAUCCCCCGUGAUCACACCAAGAUUUGUUGCAUUCUUGAUGCGCGAUUCGAUUGAUGAGUUUUAGUCCGUAGGAUUUUGAAUUUUCUCGAGAAUUGUUUUUUUUUCCGGGGCAGCUGACGGAAUUUUCUUUCUUUUUUCUUAUCUUUGUGUUUGCGGCGAUACUUGCAGCCUCUUAGACUAGAAAUCAAGAGUAAACUUGCGCGAAUGUCAGAAAGAGUAAAAUCCGUAGAUCUACAUCCAACAGAGCCAUGGAUUUUGAUGAAUCUUUAUUCUGGAAGUGUCUGCAUCUGGAACUACCAAUCACAGGCACG